RNAcentral lists this long non-coding RNA (549 nucleotides) under Hordeum vulgare. Its description in RNAcentral is "long non-coding RNA (HVUL_LNC020991)". Lineage: Eukaryota; Viridiplantae; Streptophyta; Magnoliopsida; Poales; Poaceae. The record is from RNAcentral.
CGGGGAGGGCGNGGGCGGCCGGGGUGGGGCGGGGCUCCUAUCGCGAGAGGACCGAGGGAGCCGGGAGGAUGAGACUGAGCAAGGGGCAGUAUCGUAAGUCAACAAGGGGGAGGGGGUGUGGGGAGCAGAAUUCCUCUAUUUAUACGAGGCGAGACGAUAAUGGCACCCGCCCGGCGCGUCUAUAUAUACUACUCGUACACUCCCCAGACGACAUAUGAGAACGUGCAGGAUAAAAAUAUCUUCAUAUCGUUAUUAGACACGGACAGGAAAAAGAAAACACUACGCCUUACGUUCGCUGCACGCGUUCGUUCGUUCGUUCGCCCCAAACCCUAGAUCUGUUUCAAAACCUACCAUAUGUGUAUGUAUGCACGUAUCUCAACAAUUUUGAACACGGCGUGGGGAAACACGGCCGGAAAUGCAGAUCUGAAGCGGGGAAUCGGGCCCGUGGAAAGCCAGGGCCCCUUUUCAACCCUUAUGUGGAUCCUUUUGGGCAUGGAUAUACACACACAGAAUUCCUUCGCCCAGGGUUCGCAAAAAAAAAAAGAUGAA